AGGUGUGAUGACGAGGCACUACGGUGCUGAAGUGAUAAAUGCCCUGCUUCCAGGAAAAGCCUCUAAGCAUCAGGUAACACGAAAUCGUACCCCAAACCGACACAGGUGGUCAGGUAGAGAAUACCAAGGCGCUUGAGAGAACUCGGGUGAAGGAACUAGGCAAAAUGGUGCCGUAACUUCGGGAGAAGGCACGCUGAUAGGUAGGUGAAGUCCCUGCGGACGGAGCUGAAAUCAGUCGAAGAUACCAGCUGGCUGCAACUGUUUAUUAAAAACACAGCACUGUGCAAACACGAAAGUGGACGUAUACGGUGUGACGCCUGCCCGGUGCCGGAAGGUUAAUUGAUGGGGUUAGCGGCAACGCGAAGCUCUUGAUCGAAGCCCCGGUAAACGGCGGCCGUAACUAUAACGGUCCUAAGGUAGCGAAAUUCCUUGUCGGGUAAGUUCCGACCUGCACGAAUGGCGUAAUGAUGGCCAGGCUGUCUCCACCCGAGACUCAGUGAAAUUGAACUCGCUGUGAAGAUGCAGUGUACCCGCGGCAAGACGGAAAGACCCCGUGAACCUUUACUAUAGCUUGACACUGAACACUGGUCCUUGAUGUGUAGGAUAGGUGGGAGGCUUUGAAGCGUGGACGCCAGUCUGCGUGGAGCCAACCUUGAAAUACCACCCUUUAAUGGCUGGUGUUCUAACGUAGACCCGUAAUCCGGGUUGCGGACAGUGUCUGGUGGGUAGUUUGACUGGGGCGGUCUCCUCCCAAAGAGUAACGGAGGAGCACGAAGGUUGGCUAAUCCUGGUCGGACAUCAGGAGGUUAGUGCAAUGGCAUAAGCCAGCUUGACUGCGAGCGUGACGGCGCGAGCAGGUGCGAAAGCAGGUCAUAGUGAUCCGGUGGUUCUGAAUGGAAGGGCCAUCGCUCAACGGAUAAAAGGUACUCCGGGGAUAACAGGCUGAUACCGCCCAAGAGUUCAUAUCGACGGCGGUGUUUGGCACCUCGAUGUCGGCUCAUCACAUCCUGGGGCUGAAGUAGGUCCCAAGGGUAUGGCUGUUCGCCAUUUAAAGUGGUACGCGAGCUGGGUUUAGAACGUCGUGAGACAGUUCGGUCCCUAUCUGCCGUGGGCGCUGGAGAAUUGAGGGGGGCUGCUCCUAGUACGAGAGGACCGGAGUGGACGCAUCACUGGUGUUCGGGUUGUCAUGCCAAUGGCACUGCCCGGUAGCUA
RNAcentral lists this ribosomal RNA (1212 nucleotides) under Enterobacter hormaechei. RNAcentral describes it as "partial 23S ribosomal RNA". It matches the Rfam family "Bacterial large subunit ribosomal RNA", at positions 1559 to 2751 of the family's 2925-position model. The record is from RNAcentral. Lineage: Bacteria; Pseudomonadati; Pseudomonadota; Gammaproteobacteria; Enterobacterales; Enterobacteriaceae.